GAAAACCCAAUAGUCUUGGCCUCAAAGCUCCUUAAGCUGUUAAUAACUUCAGCAAAGUCUCACGAUACAAAAUCAAUAUACAAAAAUCACAAGCAUGCUUGUAACCAGAAAUAC
Molecule: long non-coding RNA, 114 nt
Organism: Sapajus apella (tufted capuchin)
Lineage: Eukaryota; Metazoa; Chordata; Mammalia; Primates; Cebidae
Exons: 3
Source: RefSeq, a predicted model, not a curated record